Molecule: ribosomal RNA, 490 nt
Filed under: uncultured bacterium
Lineage: Bacteria
Description: partial 16S ribosomal RNA
Rfam family: Bacterial small subunit ribosomal RNA
Source: RNAcentral
GACGAACGCUGGCGGCGUGCUUAACACAUGCAAGUCGAGCGGAAAGGCCCUUUCGGGGGUACUCGAGCGGCGAACGGGUGAGUAACACGUGAGUAAUCUGCCCUCGGCUUUUGGAUAACCACCGGAAACGGUCGCUAAUACCGGAUACGACCACUCCCGGCAUCGGGUGGUGGUGGAAAGUUUUUUCGGCCCGGGAUGUGCUCGCGGCCUAGCGGCUUGUUGGUGGGGUAAUGGCCUACCAAGGCUUCGACGUGUAGCCGGCCUGAGAGGGUGACCGGCCACACUGGGAGUGAGACACGGCCCAGACUCCUACGGGGGGCAGCAGUGGGGAAUAGUGGACAAUGGGCGGAAGCCUGAUCCAGCAACGCCGCGUGAGGGAUGACGGCCUUCGUGUGGUAAACCUCUUUCAGUACCGACGAAGGGCCGAUGAUGGCGGUGACGGUAGGUACAGAAGAAGCACCGGCCAACUACGUGCCAGCCGCCGCCGUAA